Molecule: transfer RNA, 69 nt
Filed under: Thermospira aquatica
Lineage: Bacteria; Pseudomonadati; Spirochaetota; Spirochaetia; Brevinematales; Thermospiraceae
Description: Spirochaetales bacterium F1F22 tRNA-Ala
Rfam family: tRNA
About the family: Transfer RNA (tRNA) molecules are approximately 80 nucleotides in length.
Source: RNAcentral
GGGGAUAUAGCUCAGCUGGGAGAGCACCUGCCUUGCAAGCAGGGGUCAGGGUUCAAACCCUUAUCUCCA